Molecule: unclassified non-coding RNA, 231 nt
Filed under: Hevea brasiliensis (rubber tree)
Lineage: Eukaryota; Viridiplantae; Streptophyta; Magnoliopsida; Malpighiales; Euphorbiaceae
Source: RNAcentral
UUACCUAUUUUAUGUGGAUUUUUAUAAUUAUAGUUAAGGUCUUGUAUAAAUUCCUUUCUUUUUGCCCUCUCUGAUUACCCCCUAUGAACUUUGUCUUCAGGUCCCUUUAUUUUGUUUAUUUCUGGUUUUUAUAUGCAAUUGUAGAGUCUGAUGGCAUUUAGGAUUGUCUUCAAUUUGUUCUAAUGAUACAACUUUUGUUUACCUUUUAGAUGUAACUGAGGUUCUCUGUGA